RNAcentral lists this ribosomal RNA (892 nucleotides) under uncultured bacterium. RNAcentral's name for it is "bacterial SSU rRNA". It matches the Rfam family "Bacterial small subunit ribosomal RNA", at positions 505 to 1397 of the family's 1533-position model. The record is from RNAcentral.
GUGCCAGCCGCCGCGGUAAUACGUAGGUGGCAAGCGUUGCCCGGAUUUAUUGGGCGUAAAGCGAGCGCAGGCGGUUUCUUAAGUCUGAUGUGAAAGCCUUCGGCUCAACCGAAGAAGUGCAUCGGAAACUGGGAAACUUGAGUGCAGAAGAGGACAGUGGAACUCCAUGUGUAGCGGUGAAAUGCGUAGAUAUAUGGAAGAACACCAGUGGCGAAGGCGGCUGUCUGGUCUGUAACUGACGCUGAGGCUCGAAAGCAUGGGUAGCAAACAGGAUUAGAUACCCUGGUAGUCCAUGCCGUAAACGAUGAGUGCUAGGUGUUGGAGGGUUUCCGCCCUUCAGUGCCGCAGCUAACGCAUUAAGCACUCCGCCUGGGGAGUACGACCGCAAGGUUGAAACUCAAAGGAAUUGACGGGGGCCCGCACAAGCGGUGGAGCAUGUGGUUUAAUUCGAAGCAACGCGAAGAACCUUACCAGGUCUUGACAUCCUUUGACCACUCUAGAGAUAGAGCUUUCCCUUCGGGGACAAAGUGACAGGUGGUGCAUGGUUGUCGUCAGCUCGUGUCGUGAGAUGUUGGGUUAAGUCCCGCAACGAGCGCAACCCUUAUUACUAGUUGCCAGCAUUUAGUUGGGCACUCUAGUGAGACUGCCGGUGACAAACCGGAGGAAGGUGGGGACGACGUCAAAUCAUCAUGCCCCUUAUGACCUGGGCUACACACGUGCUACAAUGGAUGGUACAACGAGUUGCGAGACCGCGAGGUUUAGCUAAUCUCUUAAAACCAUUCUCAGUUCGGAUUGUAGGCUGCAACUCGCCUACAUGAAGCCGGAAUCGCUAGUAAUCGCGGAUCAGCAUGCCGCGGUGAAUACGUUCCCGGGCCUUGUACACACCGCCCGU